ACUGGUAAAGCAUCAAGGGAGAUGAAGUCCACAACAUCUGGAGUGUUGAAGUUUUCCUACUUCUGGUCUAGAGCAUCUACCCCUUCUCCGUUCAUAUAUCACUGAAUUAUAUUUGUUAUCAAGGUAAUUUGCCAGGACAUUCUAUGUUAAAUAAAAGUUGCAUGCCAAAUUGUUUGUUGUAUUAAAGGACCACUAUAGGCACCCAGACCACUUCAGCUUAAUGAAAUCCAGCUAACCCUGCCUGCUGUAAAUAUAGCAGUUUCAGAGAAACUGCUAUGUUUACUUUAGGGUUAAUCCAGCCUCUAGUGGCUAUCUCAUUGACAGCCGCUAGAAGCGCUAGAAGACGCCAGCGGAAGCAUUGAGAAGGCUUUCCCAUGGAUUGGCUGAAUGCCCGUGCAGCUCCUGACGCGCAUGCGCAUUCAGCCGCUGACGGCGAUAUGGAGGACGAGAGGAGGAGGAGAGUUCCCCAUCCGGCGCUGGAAAAAGGUAAAUUUAACCCCUUCCACCCCCUAGAGCCUGGCGGGAGGGGGGCCCUGAGGGUGGGCGGGACCUAGAGACCCUAUAGUGCCAGAAAAAGGAGUAUGUUUUCCUGGCACUAUAGUGGUCCUUUAAGGUUGCAUACCCUUACAUCUCAUGUUAUUUCAGGGUUAUUAUCUUUUUUCCACAAUAAACGUUUGAGGUUUUUUAUCAUUUGCACGUACAUAUUUUUCAGCAUACUGUGGCUUCUCAUCUGAAAAUAGGGCUAAUAAAUGCCCACUCUCCUGAUUCUGGUUACAUCUUUUCUCCCUUCUCCAUACAUUGCAGGUACAGAGAGGUCCAAGAACUGUGGCAAUACUACAAGAUAAUUGUACCGGGUGUUGGCCCAUGUGAUGCUAGGAAUUUUUUACAAUUCUUAUUUACAAUAUUACAAGAAAAUGUUUACUAAUCUUGAGCCAAUAUCUCCCUAUGAAAUGUCAAGUGAUUAUUUUUAAAGCCCAGUCUGUAGUAUGUACAACUUUUUGUGCAGUGGGAAUUGUUUCCUAAAGAAAACUCCUUGCCUUUAAAGUUUCCGAGUCAAGGUGCAUUGUAAGCGAUCGACUCUCAGAUUAACCAAACAUCAAUGAGCUUCACAUGUCAAUAGAUACCACUGUAUCUUUCUUGCAUCACGCUGUUACCACAUCUAGUGAACAUUGACUUAAACUGACAGCCCUGUGCUACAUACAAAAUUCAUCACAGGCUACAAAAUCUGCAAUGAAUGUCUUAAUUAUAGCAGAGUGAAAUAUCUCAUACAUGAGAGUCAAUGUUAGAUGAGUCAUUGUUAGGAUUGCGUAGGACCUGCCAAAAAUAGGAUUCCAUGUAAAUAAUAGCAGAUUUUUGUAAUGUAUGAGCAUAUAAUGUAACUAAAAUAUUAACCCCACUAUGUUAGUCGUCUGUUUACAAAACCUUUAUAGGCUUUAAAGGGG
Molecule: non-coding RNA, 1442 nt
Organism: Pelobates cultripes (western spadefoot toad)
Lineage: Eukaryota; Metazoa; Chordata; Amphibia; Anura; Pelobatidae
Source: the annotation of a GenBank genome assembly